This is a long non-coding RNA of Eleginops maclovinus (Patagonian blennie), 702 nucleotides long. RefSeq lists it as uncharacterized. Lineage: Eukaryota; Metazoa; Chordata; Actinopteri; Perciformes; Eleginopidae. The transcript is spliced from 3 exons. The record is from RefSeq and is a predicted model, not a curated record.
GCAAAAAGAAAAAAAGUCACACCAUGUCUAUUGGGAAAGGGCUGCUGUUUUCCUGCCUCCUGAUUAUGUACGUCGCUUUUAUGAUCUCCAAAGCAACACCAGUGACUCUUAAGCAUAGCAUGAGGAAACUGCACGAUUGGUCUUCAACAUGUAGUCUCCGGAAAGCAGAAGAAGUUUACAUCAAAUUCAUGUUUCCUAUUGGAGGUCUACCGGCAGAAUACUAUUCAAACAGUUCAGAUUUAGUGCUUGAAGGAAUUACUUUUGGAAACGCCACUGAAAUUGAGAACCAGACUUCCAUCUGUGCCAUCCAUGACUACCUCAACUACCACCUGCCAACAAUACUCAACAAUCUUCACAAAUAUCCGGACAGCAUCCUCAAAGAAACUAAAGCCUUUCUCUCUCAAUUCACAAUAGCUGUUAAAAAUUCAGAAGAAGGGAAGAAUGUGCUAGAAGACUGCAACAGAAAUGUCACAACGUCAGAUGAUUACAGUAUGAAAAGACUCGGCCUCAGAAUCAUUUCUUACACCAGACGAUGGUUGGAGCAGUACACAGGAAUAAAGGUCACCUGUCUGGGCUUGAAAGAUUGAGAAGAGACACUUAUUUAUACAUUUUAUUAUUUGUUGGUAUACUAUUUAAGCUAUUCUAUAUUUAUUUAUUUAUUGAUGUUUGCCAGUAUUUAUUUUAUUUAUAUUGAAUGACGUA